UACAGAGGGGGCAAGCGUUGUUCGGAAUUACUGGGCGUAAAGGGCGCGUAGGCGGCCUGUUAAGUCGAACGUGAAAUCCCCGGGCUCAACCCGGGAACUGCGUCCGAUACUGGCAGGCUUGAAUCCGGGAGAGGGAUGCGGAAUUCCAGGUGUAGCGGUGAAAUGCGUAGAUAUCGGGAGGAACACCUGUGGCGAAAGCGGCUCACUGGACCACAACUGACGCUGAGGCGCGAAAGCUAGGGGAGCAAACAGG
This 253-nucleotide ribosomal RNA is filed under the name uncultured bacterium. RNAcentral describes it as "partial 16S ribosomal RNA". It matches the Rfam family "Bacterial small subunit ribosomal RNA", at positions 524 to 776 of the family's 1533-position model. The record is from RNAcentral.